This 301-nucleotide ribosomal RNA is filed under the name uncultured bacterium. Its description in RNAcentral is "partial 16S ribosomal RNA". It matches the Rfam family "Bacterial small subunit ribosomal RNA", at positions 509 to 807 of the family's 1533-position model. The record is from RNAcentral.
CAGCAGCCGCGGUAAUACGAAGGGUGCAAGCGUUAAUCGGAAUUACUGGGCGUAAAGCGUGCGUAGGCGGUUUGUUAAGUCUGCUGUGAAAUCCCUGAGCUUAACUUAGGAAUUGCAUUCGAUACUGGGAAGCUAGAGUAUGGGAGAGGAUGGUAGAAUUCCAGGUGUAGCGGUGAAAUGCGUAGAGAUCUGGAGGAAUACCGAUGGCGAAGGCAGCCAUCUGGCCUAAUACUGACGCUGAGGUACGAAAGCAUGGGGAGCAAACAGGAUUAGAUACCCCGGUAGUCCCUGUCUCUUAUAC